GAUGAACGCUGGCGGCGUGCUUAACACAUGCAAGUCGAACGAAGCACUUUAUUUUAUUUCCUUCGGGACUGAUUAUUUUGUGACUGAGUGGCGGACGGGUGAGUAACGCGUGGGUAACCUGCCUUGUACAGGGGGAUAACAGUUGGAAACGGCUGCUAAUACCGCAUAAGCGCACGGCAUCGCAUGAUGCAGUGUGGAAAACUCCGGUGGUAUAAGAUGGACCGGCGUUGGAUUAGCUAGUUGGUGAGGUAACGGCCCACCAAGGCGACGAUCCAUAGCCGACAUGAGAGGGUGACCGGCCACAUUGGGACUGAGACACGGCCCAAACUCCUACGGGAGGCAGCAGUGGGGAAUACUGCACAAUGGGCGAAAGCCUGAUGCAGCGACGCCGCGUGAGCGAAGAAGUAUUUCGGUAUGUAAAGCUCUAUCAGCAGGGAAGAUAAUGACGGUACCUGACUAAGAAGCACCGGCUAAAUACGUG
RNAcentral lists this ribosomal RNA (481 nucleotides) under uncultured bacterium. RNAcentral's name for it is "partial 16S ribosomal RNA". It matches the Rfam family "Bacterial small subunit ribosomal RNA", at positions 28 to 507 of the family's 1533-position model. The record is from RNAcentral.